RNAcentral lists this non-coding RNA (28 nucleotides) under Rattus norvegicus (Norway rat). Lineage: Eukaryota; Metazoa; Chordata; Mammalia; Rodentia; Muridae. The record is from RNAcentral.
ACCCCAAACAUGCAACAGGGCUGGGACC